RNAcentral lists this unclassified non-coding RNA (3245 nucleotides) under Leishmania donovani. RNAcentral's name for it is "gene:LdHU3.30.1040(CDS-product:mitochondrial_olig o_U_binding_protein_TBRGG1_putative)". The record is from RNAcentral. Lineage: Eukaryota; Euglenozoa; Kinetoplastea; Trypanosomatida; Trypanosomatidae.
GGUAUUGGCACCUUAGGUCACAUAUCAAAAGCCUAGAAAAGGAACGAGCUGCGAAGGAUCAGAUGCUGCAGCGGUGCGCGACACUGACCGGCGCGCCACUCCGGGCUCGGGCGUACAGCACGGUGCUAGGCGCUUGUGCUGUGCUCCAUCAGCGUGGGGGCUACCAAGGCCGCGGUGGUGGCCCUCGGCUCGGCUACGGUGGCGGCGGUCCCCCUCCUCGCCAGCAGCAUUAUCAGCAGCAAGGAGGCGGGUACGGAAACCGCGACGAUUUUUCGCGCCACCGCGGCGGCAGCGACCGUGGAUACGAGAACCGCAACCAGGGCUAUGAAAAUCACCAGCAGCGCUACAUCGAUCGCCCGCAAAGACGUGACAAUGAUCAGCAAGGCUACGGCAAUAGUCGAGAGAACUACGAUGAUCGUAGCCAGGGCUACGACGAUCGCCGGAAAGGGUUUAACAAUCGUCAACAGAGUUUUGGAAACCGCCAGCACGACGGUGACGAUCGCCAAUCGGCACCGCGGCGUGGCAAAGAGCAGUACCUCACGCAGGAUGCAGACAGGCUACUGAGAAUGAAACAUGAUUACAAGAAAGCAAAAGACACAAAGGAGCGCUUUGGGAUUGUAAAAGAGGCUCGGCGGCUUCUGCGUCGCACUCGCAUCGACCCCUCCACCCAAGACGAACGGUCUGUUGCCAUUGUGAUCAACUGCGCCGCCACCUUCUCUGUUCCAGCAAAGAUAGAGGCGGUGGAGCAGGCGUUUCAAUGGAUGCGGAGCAACAUCGGUGGCAUCUCACCUCAGAAUGUAGCCCUUUUCGCGAACGCGUUGGGUCUCAUCUCCCCGCCCGAGGCGAAGCAAGUGAUGGUCAGUGAGGUCAUGCCGGCUGUGCAGUCUGUGAUGCGCGAAAUGGCACCCGUGGAAGUAGUGAUGGUGCUGCAGGCACUUCAGCGCUUGGGAGUCGAGGAGAAUGAAAAACUGCAGGACGAUCUCCUCUCCCAUCUCGAGCCGUGUGUCUCCUCGAUGCCAGUUCAGCAGUUGUCCACACUGGCGUCUGUCCUCCAUCAUCACUCAAUGCAAACGCGAGACAAUGCGAAGUGGAAGCAGAUUGCACACGAGACGUUGGCACGCGCUCUUGCAGGGGUGGACGGGAUACACUCACGGGAGGCCAUCGUUCUUCUUUGCGCCGCACCGUUUUUGGACGCCUCCCAGAAGCAGAUUGGCCAACUUCUCGCUCGCGUGACAGAAACUGUACAGUUCCACACGGAUGAUCAGGUCGGAGAACUGAUGAGCGCAAUCCUCCACAUUAGACAACAGGUCAGUGAGCCGAGUGUCGAGUUGACAGCGGCCGUCGAGGAGCUUCACACGGCACUGAUGACACGUUUGGAGAAGGUGAGCGCUUUUGUGGGGCCUAAAAGUGCGACUCGCAUCUGGAACUACGCACACGCUUCCAACGUCGAGCUCCCCUCCGCGAUUCAAGAGACCAUGUGCGCUUCACUCAUACAGCUCAUGACAUUCCGCACCAUUCGAUUCCGAGCAUUGGCACGGCUGAUGGCAUCGCUAUCGACACAGAAGCUGCCCUCCGCUGAAAUUCUCACUGUCGUUGCAAACUGCAGUGUUGGAGUGCGGCCGCCUCGGUCUGCAAAGGCGAUUCUUCCUCAAGAGAGUGAUAUGCCGGGGGAUGGAGAGGAUCACGAGAGCAUUCGUGCCGCGGCGUUCGAGGCGCUGUACAGUCGUCACUUUGGUACUCUCACUGAGCUGCGUAUCAGCCUUGAAAACGCUUUUGCCAAGAAUGAUGUCCCUCCCAACGACGCUCUCGCCAAGACGCUGCCAGAGCAUCUUCUCAAACACGCUGCAGAAGCUUCGCCGCGACAAAUGCUGACGGCCGCUGUGGCCAUUGCGCUAGCGCCGGCCGAUUGCCCGUGUCGAAACAAGACUCACGAUGCGGCAGUGCGUGCCGCAGUACUCAAAGCGCUCGAAGACAACCCUGACAAGUUCAAGUCCGACUUGAGCCCUGAGCUCGUGGACUGGUUCGUGAGCAGUAUCCCCGCCGAUUCCGAGUCAGCAGAGAUAGUGGCGGCAGUGCAAAAGGCCGCUGCGCCGUGAUGUGCUCCCUUUACCCUUCUCUGCUCUCCAGGAUUAUAAAGGGAAAACGAAGGCUAGCAGGGCUUCUUUUUUUCUGCCUUUUCCGUCUUCCUGGUGCUGAUCUACAGAGAUUGUGCUGCGACAGUGCCGUGUGACCUGUGCCCAGCCACAGAUGAAAACACCGAUCGCGCCGCGCAAGUUUGCACCAGGAGAAGUUAUGACGGCACCGUCCAAGUGAACAGCUCAGACUCAGAAGAGGGCCGGCGGAUAUCUGCUCCAGAGCUGCAGUGGGGAGCGGAGAGGAGGUACAGAGUUCAGCAAGCCCUCGGCUGCUGCGGGGCUGGGCUUUGUCGACCUUUUUUUUUUUGAAAUCUUCUUCACAAUCAACAUUCUUGCUCACCUUCUCUUGAAACAUUUCCCUAUCUUCAUACGCCUUGCUUGGGGAGAGCAGAGACCCGGCUUGCAGAACUGGCGAUGCUUUUUUUCUUAUCCUCGGCGGCGACACUGGGGAGUAGGCAAAAAAAGGGGCGGUGAGCAAGCACACACAGGACUGAGCUCUGAUGAGUCUGGGGUGCAUGGUGUGUAGGGCGCCGGCUAAGAGGGAAGUGGAGCAACUGGGAUAUGGUGGCCCUGGACUUGCAUUUUUUUCUUUUUUCUUGGUUGCACUCAAGCGCUUUAUCGAGAAUCACUGCCGCAGCAGAGCUUCGGGUAUUCCAGUACGAUAAGCUGCACCAUCUCUCUCUUCGUUUGUGCUCCUUGCCGCAUCUUUUGGUGCGCGUGUAUUGUGUUUGUCGGUGACGGUCCGAUUAGUCGAGGUUUGUGGGGCUCGAGCGGCUGCGUCUUUGGAGUAGACUCGUCCGCGCCAUCGUAUCUUCUUCCUGUAAUGCUCAAACGGGAACUUAGCGAAAAGAACAAUAAACUAAGAGCUCUCCGGGUUCAUUGUUGCCAACAUGGCAUCUCCUCAUCUUUGUCGCCAACAUCAACCUUCCAACAAGUCCGUGUGUCUCGAUGCAUGGCAUGCAUGCGACGAACUUCUCGCGCGCUUAGCGUGGCCCAGAAUAGUCGUCAACUGAUGCCCUCUGCUCGCUGGACGGGUUGAUGCGGAGGAUGCCGUAAUCAGCAAUUUUUCUACUCCUUGGUAUCUCUUCCUUCUGCUUUCAUGGUAUUCAG